UAGGGAAUCUUCGGCAAUGGACGAAAGUCUGACCGAGCAACGCCGCGUGAGUGAAGAAGGUUUUCGGAUCGUAAAACUCUGUUGUUAGAGAAGAACAAGGGUGAGAGUAACUGUUCACCCCUUGACGGUAUCUAACCAGAAAAGCCAACGGGCUAACUACGUGCCAG
Molecule: ribosomal RNA, 167 nt
Filed under: uncultured bacterium
Lineage: Bacteria
Description: partial 16S rRNA
Rfam family: Bacterial small subunit ribosomal RNA
Source: RNAcentral